RNAcentral lists this ribosomal RNA (488 nucleotides) under uncultured bacterium. RNAcentral's name for it is "partial 16S ribosomal RNA". It matches the Rfam family "Bacterial small subunit ribosomal RNA", at positions 355 to 835 of the family's 1533-position model. The record is from RNAcentral.
UAGGGAAUCUUCCACAAUGGACGCAAGUCUGAUGGAGCAACGCCGCGUGAGUGAAGAAGGUCUUCGGAUCGUAAAGCUCUGUUGUUGGUGAAGAAGGAUAGAGGCAGUAACUGGUCUUUAUUUGACGGUAAUCAACCAGAAAGUCACGGCUAACUACGUGCCAGCAGCCGCGGUAAUACGUAGGUGGCAAGCGUUGUCCGGAUUUAUUGGGCGUAAAGCGAGCGCAGGCGGAAUGAUAAGUCUGAUGUGAAAGCCCACGGCUCAACCGUAGAACUGCAUCGGAAACUGUCAUUCUUGAGUGCAGAAGAGGAGAGUGGAACUCCAUGUGUAGCGGUGGAAUGCGUAGAUAUAUGGAAGAACACCAGUGGCGAAGGCGGCUCUCUGGUCUGCAACUGACGCUGAGGCUCGAAAGCAUGGGUAGCGAACAGGAUUAGAUACCCUGGUAGUCCAUGCCGUAAACGAUGAGCGCUAGGUGUUGGGGACUUUCC